CCUACGGGCGGCAGCAGUGGGGAAUAUUGGACAAUGGGGGCAACCCUGAUCCAGCCAUGCCGCGUGUGUGAAGAAGGCCCUCGGGUUGUAAAGCACUUUCAGUGAGGAAGAACGCCUGGUGGUUAAUACCCAUCAGGAAAGACAUCACUCACAGAAGAAGCACCGGCUAACUCCGUGCCAGCAGCCGCGGUAAUACGGAGGGUGCGAGCGUUAAUCGGAAUUGCUGGGCGUAAAGCGCGCGUAGGUGGCUUGAUAAGCCGGUUGUGAAAGCCCCGGGCUCAACCUGGGAACGGCAUCCGGAACUGUCAAGCUAGAGUGCAGGAGAGGAAGGUAGAAUUCCCGGUGUAGCGGUGAAAUGCGUAGAGAUCGGGAGGAAUACCAGUGGCGAAGGCGGCCUUCUGGACUGACACUGACACUGAGGUGCGAAAGCGUGGGUAGCAAACAGGAUUAGAUACCCGAGUAGUC
Molecule: ribosomal RNA, 465 nt
Filed under: Vreelandella stevensii
Lineage: Bacteria; Pseudomonadati; Pseudomonadota; Gammaproteobacteria; Oceanospirillales; Halomonadaceae
Description: partial 16S ribosomal RNA
Rfam family: Bacterial small subunit ribosomal RNA
Source: RNAcentral